Molecule: ribosomal RNA, 301 nt
Filed under: uncultured bacterium
Lineage: Bacteria
Description: partial 16S ribosomal RNA
Rfam family: Archaeal small subunit ribosomal RNA
Source: RNAcentral
CAGCCGCCGCGGGAAUACCAGCACCUCGAGUGGUCAGGAGGUUUAUUGGGCCUAAAGCAUCCGUAGCCGGUUGCAUAAGUUUUCGGUUAAAUCUAUGCGCUUAACGUAUAGGCCGCCGAAAAUACUGUGCAGCUAGGGAGUGGGAGAGGUACACGGUACUCGAUAGGAAGGGGUAAAAUCCUUUGAUCUAUUGAUGACCACCUGUGGCGAAGGCGGUGUACCAGAACACGUUCGACGGUGAGGGAUGAAAGCUGGGGGAGCAAACCGGAUUAGAUACCCGCGUAGUCCCUGUCUCUUAUAC